GACGAACGCUGGCGGCGUGCUUAACACAUGCAAGUCGAACGGAAAGGCCCUGCUUUUGUGGGGUGCUCGAUUGGCGAACGGGUGAGUAACACGUGAGUAACCUGCCCUUGACUUUGGGAUAACUUCAGGAAACUGGGGCUAAUACCGGAUAGGAGCUCCUGCUGCAUGGGGGGGGUUGGAAAAUUUCGGCGGUGGGGGAUGGACUCGCGGCUUAUCAGCUUGUUGGUGGGGUAGUGGCUUACCAAGGCUUUGACGGGUAGCCGGCCUGAGAGGGUGACCGGCCACAUUGGGACUGCGAUACGGCGCAGACUCCUACGGGAGGCAGCAGUGGGGAAUAUUGCACAAUGGGCGGAAGCCUGAUGCAGCAACGUCGCGUGCGGGAUGACGGCCUUCGGGUUGUAAACCGCUUUCGACUGUGACGAAGCGUGAGUGACGGUAAUGGGUAAAGAAGCACCGGCUAACUACGUG
RNAcentral lists this ribosomal RNA (468 nucleotides) under uncultured bacterium. Its description in RNAcentral is "partial 16S ribosomal RNA". It matches the Rfam family "Bacterial small subunit ribosomal RNA", at positions 28 to 507 of the family's 1533-position model. The record is from RNAcentral.